This is a small nuclear RNA of Tupaia belangeri (northern tree shrew), 79 nucleotides long. Its record names the gene U4. It matches the Rfam family "U4 spliceosomal RNA". Rfam says of the family: U4 small nuclear RNA (U4 snRNA) is a component of the major U2-dependent spliceosome. The structure of U4 snRNA from yeast and human has been reported. Lineage: Eukaryota; Metazoa; Chordata; Mammalia; Scandentia; Tupaiidae. The record is from Ensembl.
AGCUUUGCGCAGUGGCAGUAUCGUAAGCAAUGAGGUUUAUCCGAGGCGCGAUUAUUGCUAAUUGAAAAGUAAUAAUUUG